Molecule: non-coding RNA, 2719 nt
Organism: Heterocephalus glaber (naked mole-rat)
Lineage: Eukaryota; Metazoa; Chordata; Mammalia; Rodentia; Bathyergidae
Source: RefSeq, a predicted model, not a curated record
CUGAGCCCCUCGGAGUCAGGAACCUGCGCCUGCCUCUCCUGCCCAGUGCAGUGCAGGCCGCCGAGUUUUGGAUAAGGAGUGGACCCUGAUCUCAGCCGCUCCCCCGUUUACCGGCCAGGUGACACUGGGUCCUGAUGGACAGCACCCCGCAGGACCCUCGUCUCCACUCUUCCGACGCUAGCUGGCCCUUACCAAGGGCCGUGCUGUGCACUGGGUUUUGGGAUUUCUGUGCGUUACCUCAUCCGUCCCCAUGACAGUCUGAUGGAGAGAAAGGCGGUGUUCGUGUUACUGACCAGGCUUUGGGGCCCAGAGAGGCUCACAGAUACAGCACCUGGGGUGUCCGGGGUAACGCCUGGCAUCGUGCUGUGGCCUUGCUAGACAAAGAGGACACAGCGGCCGAGGGCCUGGCUGUGGCUGAUGCCGAACCAUCCCCCUGGUAGCCACGGGUAGCUCAGGAGAAGGGGCUUCUCAGAACCUUGGGAAGGAAGCUGUCCCCCAGGGGUGGCAUUUUCCAGCAUGACAUGUCAGAGGUGGGGUGUUCAGGACAGCGCAGUGGGGCCGUUACCAGAGUGGCACGGGAACAUUUAAAACCCAAAGUACAAAUAAAAGUAUAGAUAAAUUAAAGACAAAGUAUAUAGAAGAUACAGGAGAUGGGUCUUUUGCAAAUGGGAAGGGGACUGAGAGACAGGGGAGCGGGGAACGGGGGAAGGGGGAAGGGGAUGUGGAAAGAAUGAGCAUGUGCUGUGCACCUGUGCCAGCGCCCCACGAUGACUGUAAUCGUUACGAACUACAAACAUCCACUAAGAAAAAUUUAAAAAUUAAAAAAGUAUGAUGGAUAUGCUAACUACCCUGAUUUGAUGAUAUGCAUUAUAUACACGUCCUGAAGGGUCACACCGUGUCCUGUGAGUGCGUAUCAGUUAUUAUGUAUUAGUUUAAAAAAUAAAUUAAAAAUGUAAGGUCUUCUGUAAAAGUAAAAAAAAUGGUUGUUAGAACGAACGGAGGAAGUCAGCAAAACGACGUAAGGGGGAGAGGCUGGCCAGGUGGUUUCCGUGGAUUUUAAAAUUGGCCAAGGCAAUGAUGGUUAGAAGGGAAAAACGGGGGCCGGCGCAGCGGUGUUAGUGCUUCGAUGUUUUGCCGACAGAGUCGCGAGGGCGGGUCGGCCUCUGUGCGCGUGCGUGUGCGUGCGCAUGCGUCCCUGUUGGGAGUCACCGGCUCGCGCUGGCUCAUGUUCCUGAGGUUUUAGGAAAAGUGGUGCCGUUGGGGAAAGUCGAGGUUUCUCGAGGGAGCUGGAGAGAGACCCUGCCCUGCGACCUGCGAGGACCGAGUAAGGACGGUGUCUGGGCCAGGCAGGGUGGAGAGCGCGGUCCCCACCUCCUCCGACCACGAGAAGCGGGAGAGGAAGCAUCCCUGGACGAGCCUGACCCUCUCGUUUCCCGGAAGUGUGUUCCUGAGGAAAGAAGGGACUCCUCCAAGGAGGGCGCUGGGGAGAACACCGUUGGGAGGCCUUGCAAUUGUGAACGAGGGAAACUGGCGAAGCGUGGGCCGGGCGUGAACUCAGAAGUGGUGCGCGAUUGUUAGGCACAGCCGCCCUCCGAAGCAGGAGGUACCGUAAAAACCGUAUACAGAAGAGGAAACUCGGUGUUUUCAUCUGGAGAUGCAGAGCGAGAGGGAAGCAGGACAGAAGACUCUAUAACGGAAGAUGACAAGAGGAGAAACUAUGGAGGAGUGUAUGUUGGCCUACCCGCUGAAGCUGUUGACAUGGUGUCCAGUCAAACAAAGACUGUACGAAAAAAUUAGAGGAAACUAGCACCAUGACCCAAUAAACAAGAGUUUGCUCAUCGAAUCAGAAGGACUCUGGCUCCAGCGGCACUGUAACGCGCACAGACAUUUCCGAGGCAGUUCAAACAGCUGUCCCCCCACCUGCGCCCCAGUCCUAAGGCCUCGGUGAGCCACGGCGCAGGUUCUUUGUGUUGUAACGGAAGGAAGUUUGCUGGCGAUGCGCCGAUUCUGACGGAAUGUGUCGUCCCCCGGAAGGAGGAGCGACGUCCGGUCCGCUCUGUCGGGUCCGCUCCGCCCGGUCCGCUCCGCCCGCCCGCCCGCAGCCCGGCCUCGGCGCUCACGGCCAUUCACCCGAGCUCAUGGUGUUGUCUUUGGCCGGAUACUCUUUUGAUAGUUUUUAUAUAACAAAGUCCUUACUCUGUGUAUAACCUAAGAUAAUAAGGACACUCUAAAUGAAUUACCUGCAGUAAUAUAUCUGCCUUUUAUCUUUCACCAUUUCUACAUUAAUUUUUAGCUGUAAAAUUGGUAGCUGGAUUCUUACUCCCCCUCCCCCUUUUUUUUUACUGUUUGUUUUUCAAAUUUUAUUUAAAUGUCAGAGAAUUUCCACUAUUAGGAAUGAUGUAUCAUGUUGCAAUAUUUACACGUAAACCUGUUAAAUUUGCAGUUUGUGUGCUCUAAACACAUGUUGAUGAAAUCCCUGUUUUGUUUGGCCAAAGGCUUAUGUAGCUGCAAAUAUCCCAUAGCUGGUGAGUCGUUCAUUCUCCCUUGUGUAGUCCUGGUAUCUCUUCAUGUUAACUCUGUACUAUUUUCAAGGUCUUAAGGUAGAUGGGGUUCGUGGGAUAUCUGGAAAGUUCUCAGUUUGCUGAUGACAUGUAUAUCUGUUUACCAUUGCAAUGAAAAUUACUCAGUUUACCAAUAUAUUUCAACAUUUAAACAUUUU